This 289-nucleotide ribosomal RNA is filed under the name uncultured Oscillospiraceae bacterium. Its description in RNAcentral is "partial 16S ribosomal RNA". It matches the Rfam family "Bacterial small subunit ribosomal RNA", at positions 55 to 339 of the family's 1533-position model. Lineage: Bacteria; Bacillati; Bacillota; Clostridia; Eubacteriales; Oscillospiraceae. The record is from RNAcentral.
AUGCAAGUCGAACGAGAGAGAGGGAGCUUGCUUCCUCAAUCGAGUGGCGAACGGGUGAGUAACGCGUGAGGAACCUGCCUCAAAGAGGGGGACAACAGUUGGAAACGACUGCUAAUACCGCAUAAGACCACGGACCGGCAUCGGUCAGAGGUCAAAGGAGGAAUCCGCUUUGGGAGGGGUUCGCGUCCCAUUAGGUAGUUGGUGAGGUAACGGCCCACCAAGGCGACGAUUGGUAGCCGGACUGAGAGGUUGAACGGCCACAUUGGGACUGAGACACGGCCCAGACUCC